Molecule: long non-coding RNA, 1273 nt
Organism: Nelumbo nucifera (sacred lotus)
Lineage: Eukaryota; Viridiplantae; Streptophyta; Magnoliopsida; Proteales; Nelumbonaceae
Source: RefSeq, a predicted model, not a curated record
AAAACCCUAUCUUUAUUGCUUCUUAACUAUAUAUCCCUCUUGUUAGCAUUCGUUAAUGUUCUGUCACGGUCUGUGCACAUUUAACCCCACGUAACCUAUAAUUUUUUUUUCUAAACUCAAUAUUAUCCUCAUCCGCUGAACCCUCACUCUCUCUCUCCAUUCUCACACCUCCCCCUUCACCUUUGGUUCUCUCUCCCCUUCUUUCUCCGUUUGGUAUCAAUGGUUUCAGCAUAUUCAUAUAUAUACUAAGGGGUUAGAAAUCCGGCCAUGAAGAAGAAGAAAAAUAAGUGGAAGGAGAGAAAGAGAGGAAGAGAGAGAAUAGAUCGGAGAGAGAACUUGCAGUCGUCACCCCUAUUCUCGUCGCAAGAUUAAAGAAAUGAAUAGUGCAGACUUGUACUGCAGUUGCUCAAUAGUCGCCGCCCCUGUCUUUGGUCUCGGUGUUCGACUGAAAAUUGCUCUUCUCAUUCUCAUGUGCAUGCUCCAUAAUGUUCAGAUCCGCCGCUGCAAUGAGUUGCAACGGCGACAGCGAUGAGGACGCGGAGGAGAUAAGAAGGAGAAGAAAAAAAAAAGAAGAAGAGAAACUGAUUCGAGUAGAGGUCGACGAUAAAAGGUAUUGUAACAGUCGAUUUCGAAUGAUUUUAUUGGGAUCUGAAUAAGAGGGGAAAAAGGAAUGGACACAGAGAGAGAAAUGGGAGAGAAUGGCCAGAGGGGUGCCGCUGGUUCACCGCCGCUCCUCUAUUUUCGUUUGAAGAGGGGUCAUCGCCGCCGCCGCUGCAACUCAUUGUAGCGGCGGAUCUAAACAUGCAAACCGCAGAUUCUCCGACAAGCAGAACUCGAGUUUAGAAAUUAACUUCCUCUCACUAAACUAUCUGUUAUAUCCCGGUCGUCAUUGCUACUCGAAGCUAGUAGUUGAUGAUUGGAACUAAUCGAAAUCUCUCCCUUGCUCCUCUAUUCCCGUGUUGGCAUUAAUUCUCAGUCUUAGGCCAUAUAAGGUUCGUCUCAGGCCAGAUAAGGUAAGUUUACUCUCGUUACUAGCUUGGCGUUCAUCAGAUCCACACCCGUGGUUCAUAGCAUUCAACUCUCAGAAGGCAUCUCCUUUGCUUUAUUUGCCAUCAAACCCGUACAGACCAAGGGGUUUGUCAUUGUUGUCGUUUCAUCCCUUUGCUUUCUCUCAUUGUUGCCGAUGUUAUCAAAGGGGUUUUUUAGGUGCAAAAAUGAUAGGGAUGUAAGUAUUGAGAUCGCCUACAGAACCAUUGAGUUCAAUGUUUCUUUC